RNAcentral lists this unclassified non-coding RNA (1220 nucleotides) under Hevea brasiliensis (rubber tree). Lineage: Eukaryota; Viridiplantae; Streptophyta; Magnoliopsida; Malpighiales; Euphorbiaceae. The record is from RNAcentral.
GUUUAAAUUCUGUCAUUCUGAGAUGAUUAUAAAUAUGAAAAAUACCCUAUUUUUCAUUUAAGAGCUCCAAAGCCAAAUACUCCGCUGUUACUGUAGCUUGGGAAUAUCCCAAUUUCCCUUUGGAAUAUUGUUAUAAGUGCCACAUGAAUUGGGCAACUUCCCUUGAUCUCACCCUAUGGAAUUUUUUAUCACAUAAUACAUCAUUUUGAUAAGCAAUCAUUUUCGGCCAGGUGGCAACUCAGUGAUAUGCAACCAAAAGAAACGGUAAAAACACACAACACAGAGGCAAAGUCCUUAACACAAGAAGAUUCUUUUAUGGUGAGAACAUCAUCACAUAACUUGACUCAAAAAUUACAAUUUUCUCUUAAUGUAAUCACAUCAACUAAGGGGUGGAAAAAGGGCAAAACAAAGGUCAAGACAGCACAAAACUUUAUGAUAUUUUUUUCUCUUUAUCAUUCUUUUCUUCUAAAUAAAAGGAUGGAUAGUUAAAAUUAGUAAUGAUGAAGCUCCUAAAGCCAGAAGAAGAAGAAGAAUGUCUAUCUGUGAGCAGUAACCAGAGUUUCAAUAAACCUCAACCCAUCAAACCUGGGUGCAAAUUUGUCGGUAGAAGGUGAUCUCUGUUGGUCUUUGUUUGAGCUGGAUUCCUACAAGAAAAAAACGGUGAUCAAUAUUAAGAAACUGAUAACAAUUCAAACUGACAAAGAGUUGGGCCCAAUUUGAUGGGGGGAAAUGAGUAAAAUUAAAAUCCAGAGAAUACCUAUAAAAGGAAAGGCUCAAAAUCCCAAAAAUCUCAAGACAAAUAAACUAAUCCUUCAGGGAUUUGAAGAAUUUUAUGCAAAAUCCCAACUUCUCAAAUAUGAACAGCCAAACAGAACAAAACAGAGCAAGUAACAGAACAACAAAAACAGAGAAUCCAAAGAGAAAAACAGAAAGAAAGAAGCAGCUAGCGGGCCUCAAGAUUUUCAAGAUUAUUACCUCGCGAGAAAGCUGCAUAUUAGAAUUACAGCUAAAGCUUGAUGUGGAAGAUGAAGAAGAAGAAGAAGCAGAUAUAGCCGAAGCUGCAGCGACAGAGGCAGCAAAGAGGCCAGAUUUCUUCAUUGAUUUGGAGAGAUGAGAAUUGAAACAGGAAUGGUAAAAGCCUGGAAAAUGGUUGGAUUGUUUUCUUGGGAAAGAUAAAUUAAAAAGAGAGAAAAUGAAAGGAAGUCAUCAAAGGCGUGGGG